UGGGGAUUUAGCUCACUGGUAGAGCACUUGCCUAGUGUGUAUGAGGCCCUGGUUCAAUCCCUAGUACUUAA
Molecule: transfer RNA, 71 nt
Filed under: Marmota monax (woodchuck)
Lineage: Eukaryota; Metazoa; Chordata; Mammalia; Rodentia; Sciuridae
Description: tRNA.Thr
Rfam family: tRNA (bases 2-63)
About the family: Transfer RNA (tRNA) molecules are approximately 80 nucleotides in length. Their secondary structure includes four short double-helical elements and three loops (D, anti-codon, and T loops).
Source: RNAcentral